GGCCAGACUCCUACGGGAGGCAGCAGUGAGGAAUAUUGGUCAAUGGGCGCAGGCCUGAACCAGCCAAGUCGCGUGAGGGAAGACUGCCCUAUGGGUUGUAAACCUCUUUUAUAAGGGAAGAAUAAUGACUACGUGUAGUCAGAUGCCCGUACCUUAUGAAUAAGCAUCGGCUAACUCCGUGCCAGCAGCCGCGGUAAUACGGAGGAUGCGAGCGUUAUCCGGAUUUAUUGGGUUUAAAGGGUGCGCAGGCGGAGGUGCAAGUCAGCGGUCAAAUUGCGGGGCUCAACCCCGUACUGCCGUUGAAACUGCAUCCCUUGAGUGCGCGAGAAGUAUGCGGAAUGCGUGGUGUAGCGGUGAAAUGCAUAGAUAUCACGCAGAACUCCGAUUGCGAAGGCAGCAUACCGGCGCGCAACUGACGCUCAUGCACGAAAGCGUGGGUAUCGAACAGGAUUAGAUACCCCGGUA
RNAcentral lists this ribosomal RNA (465 nucleotides) under uncultured bacterium. Its description in RNAcentral is "bacterial SSU rRNA". It matches the Rfam family "Bacterial small subunit ribosomal RNA", at positions 329 to 792 of the family's 1533-position model. The record is from RNAcentral.